CUCCACCAGAGGUUUAACACACAUCAAUGGCACGAGUAUUGAGCGCAUUGUAAGCGCCAUACCUGCCACAACUACCACUGCAACAGGAGAGUAUCACUUGGCCUGUUUUAAGAGAUUCUUUGUUGACCUUAAGAGGGUGAAAAGACCUGGUAUGUGCCAGCUGUCUGGUGCCUGGGAAAGGUCAGGACGUGGAUAUAAUCGUUGCACACACAGAUGGUGACAUGGAUCGAAAGGUGAAGAGAGAGAGAGAGACAGCAAUUAGUUAAAAAUCGUCCGGACUUCCCUAUGAAAUAUUACGAGGAGCAGAAAAGGAGAUAUGAAUGCAGCCGCCGCAGAGGAAGAAGGAGCACAUGAAGGCGGCAUUACUUUGCUCGUUUGAAGAAUCAGGAACAUCAAAUAAGACAAAGAACAGAAAGUUACACAAGUGAAAGUAGGAUAUAAACCGGCCCAAACAAGACACCGUUCCCAGUCAAACUGAUUUAACGUGGACUGCAUUUCUGAGCUGCUUAAUUUCUAGAGUCAGAAGGAAGACGACUGGAAAUAACACCGCAAGCCCCAGAAUUGUUUCUUACACUUGUGACUUAAAAAAAA
This is a non-coding RNA of Labrus bergylta (ballan wrasse), 591 nucleotides long. The record is from RefSeq and is a predicted model, not a curated record. NCBI's taxonomy places the organism in Eukaryota, Metazoa, Chordata, Actinopteri, Labriformes, Labridae.